UUCAUAAUUUUUGUUCAUUAGCGUAAAGAAAUUUUAAAUAUUAAUAUGUCGCAAAAUUAAAAUGUAAGCACGAACAAAGUAUUAAUUUUACUAACUUAUUCGACAUGGCGUGCAUGAGAACAUAUAAAAGAUGAGGCACUGACCAGAAUCAGUCUCCAAAAUGAAUAUCGGUUGCUUUGGUUGUUUUGCUGGCCACCGGCCCACUAUUCAUUUACUCUGCUGAAUCCAAUUCAUUAGAUGAAGUAUGUGCUAGAAGGGAGGGAAUAACUGAAGAGCUCCUGACUAAACAUCCCAGCGACAUGAAAGUCAAGUGUUUCUAUUUAUGUCACUUUGAAAAGACAAAAGUAAUUGCCAACGGCAGAAUCGAAAUAACUGGAAUCGACAAUGCAAAACCCUGUCUAAAACUAAAGGAUAACAACAAAUGUGAUCUAGCCUAUAACGUAAUUGCUUAAGAAAUAACUUGAACGAGAUGGAAUGGCACAAAGUAUAUUUAUAUUAUCAGUAAAUAGAUACCACUGAAAUUGUGUUGUUCAUGUAAUAAAAUGAUAAACUUGA
This is a long non-coding RNA of Drosophila elegans, 555 nucleotides long. RefSeq lists it as uncharacterized. The record is from RefSeq and is a predicted model, not a curated record. Lineage: Eukaryota; Metazoa; Arthropoda; Insecta; Diptera; Drosophilidae. The transcript has 2 exons.